CUGUGCGUUAGAGCAGGCGCAUUAGAGGAUGUAAUGGGGUUCAUGGGCUCAAGUUCCUAGGCCAGAAUUGAUUUAAAAAAAUAAAAAAUGAUUUUAAUUCAUUGAACCGAUCCUUAGUAGUGAACUUGUAUGAAGCGGUUCAGACCACGUGUCAAUCAGUCACUGUCUUUUCUUUCCUUCUCCACAUCUUCUCCUCGUCUCUUACAGAAGCUGGAGUUCGGUAAUAAGUCUAGCUUUAGCUUCCUCCACUCUCUCUCCAUCUCCUUCCAUUGUUCGUCCUCUUCUCUCCUCUUUCCUCAUUUCAUCAGAUUCAAUUCUUUUUCCUUUCAUCUCAAUUCUUCUCUGUUUUUUAUUUCUCUUUUGUAACAAUCAGAGGAGAAUGGUGGUGGUCUGAUAAAUUGGACCUUAUUCCUUGUGUAUGUUUACUGAAAUCAAUAUAUCUUGCGAUUAUAGAGCUCUAAUCUCCAUUUUUUUCUUAUGAGGUUAUGUUUUGAUGAUAGAGACAUUUUUUUUUACUUACAAUGAGUACACCAAGAAACGGCUUUUCCAAGCAUCAGAGAGCUGAGAAAGUCUGUGGUCAGAGAGGGCCUAAUUGGAUCCUAAUCGCAGGUGGAGCCUUGUUGAGCACUCUGUCCAUUCGCUUUGGCUACAAGCUUAAGCAGUCGCCUCUUUUCAAACCUCCUCAUCAGUCUAAUGCCUCUCCUGGAUUUAAAGCCAAUGGAACAUCUGAGAGGCAAAGAUGUUGUUGUUUGCACUCCUCCACCACGUCUUCCUGUGCAAAGAAUAAUGGUUAUUCCUGCUUCCGCUCCGUUCCAGGUCUUUACAGGUCACAGGAACACUGUUUUUUCCCUAUGUUUCAGACACAGAACUGCAGAGCUCUACUCUGGUUCAUUUGAUCGAAGUGUCAAGGCGUGCACUUACGGUUGGGAGAGAUAGAAUCAUGCAACUACACAAGUUUGUGUAUUGUGUUACAGGAAGGUAGACAAGGCAGAGAAGCUUGAUGGAGGAGAAGGUGGCAAAAGGAGUGAGUCAUUAGUGGCGAGGACAUUAGGUGUUUAGAGUGGAGAAGGUCCAAGCUCCGGUAUGUGACUAGAAGACGGUGACGUUGGAGAUAGAACUUUGGCUUUAGAAUUUUAGGUGUAGGUUUAAUUGUUUUUUAAAAAAUUAGUUAAGUUUGAUAUACCUGUCAUAACUAUGUAACCAAUUUCAAUAUAUAAAAAAUUUAAUAUAAAUUUGUAUUUUUAUAUUUUAUAUUUUUUUUUAAUUUUUAAUAAUGCCAAUUAUUGUAUGAAUAAUCUUUGUAUGUUUUUGAAUUCUCAAUGUAUUGAAUAAAAUUUUAAUGUCA
Molecule: RNA transcript, 1345 nt
Organism: Brassica napus (rape)
Lineage: Eukaryota; Viridiplantae; Streptophyta; Magnoliopsida; Brassicales; Brassicaceae
Exons: 5
Source: RefSeq, a predicted model, not a curated record